RNAcentral lists this ribosomal RNA (497 nucleotides) under uncultured bacterium. Its description in RNAcentral is "partial 16S ribosomal RNA". It matches the Rfam family "Bacterial small subunit ribosomal RNA", at positions 28 to 507 of the family's 1533-position model. The record is from RNAcentral.
GAUGAACGCUGGCGGCGUGCCUAAUACAUGCAAGUCGAGCGAACAGACGAGGAGCUUGCUUCUUUGACGUUAGCGGCGGACGGGUGAGUAACACGUAGGUAACCUACCUAUAAGACUGGGAUAACUUCGGGAAACCGGAGCUAAUACCGGAUAAUAUUUUGAACCGCAUGGUUCGAUAGUGAAAGAUGGCUUUGCUGUCACUUAUAGAUGGACCCGCGCUGUAUUAGCUAGUUGGUAAGGUAACGGCUUACCAAGGCAACGAUACGUAGCCGACCUGAGAGGGUGAUCGGCCACACUGGAACUGAGACACGGUCCAGACUCCUACGGGAGGCAGCAGUAGGGAAUCUUCCGCAAUGGGCGAAAGCCUGACGGAGCAACGCCGCGUGAGUGAUGAAGGUCUUCGGAUCGUAAAACUCUGUUAGUAGGGAAGAACAAACGUGUAAGUAACUGUGCACGUCUUGACGGUACCUAAUCAGAAAGCCACGGCUAACUACGUG